UUUUGUUUGAUUCAAUCUCCACCUCCUCCCUACUACUACAACUCUCCACCUCCACCAAAGAAGUCUCCACCUCCUCCCUACUACUACAGUUCUCCACCUCCACCAAAGAAGUCUCUACCUCCGCCAUACCACUACAUAUCACCACCUCUACCGAAAAAGUCUCCACCUCCUCCCUACUACUAUAGCUGUCCACCUCUAUCUCCACCUCCUCCAUACUACUAAAGCUCUCUAUCUCCACCAAAGAAGUCUCCACCUCCUCCAUACUACUACUCAUCACCACCUCCACCAAAGAAAACUCCACCUCCUCCCUACUACUACAGCUCUCCACCUCCACCAAAGAAGUCUCCACCUCCGCCAUACCAUUACACAUCACCAUCUCCACUAAAGAAGUCUCCACCUCCUCCCUACUACUAUAGCUCUCCACCUCCACUAAUGAAGUCUCCACAUCCUCCAUACUAUUACUUAUCACCACCUCCACCAAAGAAAUCUCCACCUCCUCCCUACUACUACAACUCUCCACCUCUACCAAAGAAGUCUUCACCUCCGUCAUACCACUACACAUCACCAUCUCCACUAAAGAAGUCUCCACCUCCUCCCUACUACUAUAGCUCUCCACCUCCACCAAAGAAGUCUCCACCUCCUCCCUACUAUUAUAGCUCUCCACCUCCACCAAAUAAGUCUCCGCCUCCUCCAUACUACUACUCAUCACCACCUCCACCAAAGAAAUCUCCACCUCCUCCCUACUACUACAGCUCUCCACCUCCACCCAAAAAGUCACCACCUCCUCCAUACCACUACUCGUCCCCACCUCCUCCUAAAAAGUCUCCACCUCCCCCAUACUACUAUAACUCUCCACCUCCACCUUCUCUUUCACCACCACCUCCAUACCAUUACACAUCUCCUCCUCCAUCAAAGAAGUCUCCACCUCCUCCAUAUUAUUAUAACUCUCCACCUCCACCUUCUCCAUCACCGCCACCUCCUUACUAUUAUUCUUCCCCACCCCCUCCCAAACACUACUAAAAUGAAUCCAUUUGAAUUGUACCAAUAAAUUCUAUCCAUGUAUUGUUUUCGAAUUGAUUCCAUAUUUUUUUGUAUUACAAUAAGGAUAAAGUUUAAGAUUUAGAGUGAAUUUGUUCUGUAUUAAGCAGUGCUUGUUAUAUCAUUUCUCUGUAAUAAUAUGAAAGGC
This 1186-nucleotide long non-coding RNA is filed under the name Ricinus communis (castor bean). RNAcentral's name for it is "long non-coding RNA (RCOM_LNC003495)". Lineage: Eukaryota; Viridiplantae; Streptophyta; Magnoliopsida; Malpighiales; Euphorbiaceae. The record is from RNAcentral.